This 911-nucleotide ribosomal RNA is filed under the name uncultured Bacillota bacterium. RNAcentral describes it as "bacterial SSU rRNA". It matches the Rfam family "Bacterial small subunit ribosomal RNA", at positions 59 to 946 of the family's 1533-position model. Lineage: Bacteria; Bacillati; Bacillota. The record is from RNAcentral.
CAGUCGAACGCGAAAGUUCCCUUCGGGGAGCAAGUAGAGUGGCGCACGGGUGAGUAACACGUAGGUAAUCUACCUUUGGAUUGGGAAUAACAACCGGAAACGGUUGCUAAUACCGAAUAAUGCAGCGGCACCUAAUGGUGACAGUUGUUAAAGCGGGGGAUCGCAAGACCUCGCGUCUGAAGAGGAGCCUGCGGCAGAUUAGCUAGUUGGUAGGGUAACGGCUUACCAAGGCUAUGAUCUGUAGCCGGCCUGAGAGGGCGGUCGGCCACACUGACACUGACAUACGGGUCAGACUCCUACGGGAGGCAGCAGUCGGGAAUUUUGGGCAAUGGGCGAAAGCCUGACCCAGCAACGCCGCGUGAAGGAUGAAAUCCUUCGGGAUGUAAACUUCGCAAGAACGGGAAGAAUAAGCCGGUGCAAAUAUCACCGGCGAUGACGGUACUGUUUGUAAGCUCCGGCUAACUCCGUGCCAGCAGCCGCGGUAAUACGGGGGGAGCAAGCGUUGUUCGGAUUUACUGGGCGUAAAGGGCGCGUAGGCGGCCACCGCAAGUCAGUUGUGAAAUCUCUGGGCUUAACCCAGAAAGGUCAACUGAUACUGCGGGGCUAGAGUGCAGAAGGGGCAACUGGAAUUCUCGGUGUAGCGGUGAAAUGCGUAGAUAUCGAGAGGAACACCUGCGGCGAAGGCGGGUUGCUGGGCUGACACUGACGCUGAGGCGCGAAAGCUAGGGGAGCGAACGGGAUUAGAUACCCCGGUAGUCCUAGCCUUAAACGAUGAAUGCUUGGUGUCUGGGGUUUUAUAGUCCCCGGGUGCCGUCGCUAACGCUUUAAGCAUUCCGCCUGGGGAGUACGGUCGCAAGACUGAAACUCAAAGGAAUUGACGGGGACCCGCACAAGCGGUGGAGCAUGUGGUU